GACGAACGCUGGCGGCGUGCUUAACACAUGCAAGUCGAGCGAUGAAGCACCUUCGGGUGUGAAUUAGCGGCGAACGGGUGAGGAACACGUGAGAAAUCUGCCUUCAACUCUGGGAUAACUCCGGGAAACCGGGGCUAAUACCGGAUAUGAGCCUUGAUCGCAUGAUCGGGGCUGGAAAGUUUUUCGGUUGAAGAUGAUCUCGCGGCCUAUCAGCUUGUUGGUGAGGUAAUGGCUCACCAAGGCGACGACGGGUAGCCGGCCUGAGAGGGCGACAGGCCACACUGGGACUGAGACACGGCCCAGACUCCUACGGGAGGCAGCAGUGGGGAAUAUUGGGCAAUGGAGGAAACUCUGACCCAGCGACGCCGCGUGAGGGAUGAAGGCCUUCGGGUUGUAAACCUCUUUCAGUAGGGAAGAAGCGAAAGUGACGGUACCUACAGAAGAAGCACCGGCUAACUAUGUGCCAGCAGUCGCCGUAA
RNAcentral lists this ribosomal RNA (479 nucleotides) under uncultured bacterium. RNAcentral describes it as "partial 16S ribosomal RNA". It matches the Rfam family "Bacterial small subunit ribosomal RNA", at positions 28 to 523 of the family's 1533-position model. The record is from RNAcentral.